CGGCUAGGGGGCCAUCCCGGCUUACCAAACCGAUGCAAACUGCGAAUACCGGAGAAUGUUAUCACGGGAGACACACGGCGGGUGCUAACGUCCGUCGUGAAGAGGGAAACAACCCAGACCGCCAGCUAAGGUCCCAAAGUCAUGGUUAAGUGGGAAACGAUGUGGGAAGGCCCAGACAGCCAGGAUGUUGGCUUAGAAGCAGCCAUCAUUUAAAGAAAGCGUAAUAGCUCACUGGUCGAGUCGGCCUGCGCGGAAGAUGUAACGGGGCUAAACCAUGCACCGAAGCUGCGGCAGCGAACGUAUCACCCAAGACAACUUUACGGAGUUGACGAUUGACGGAGCGAAGCGACGUCAAAGCGUUCAUUAAAGUCGAGUUGGCUUAGGGAUACGUUCGUUGGGUAGGGGAGCGUUCUGUAAGCCUGUGAAGGUGUGUCGUGAGGCAUGCUGGAGGUAUCAGAAGUGCGAAUGCUGACAUAAGUAACGAUAAAGCGGGUGAAAAGCCCGCUCGCCGGAAGACCAAGGGUUCCUGUCCAACGUUAAUCGGGGCAGGGUGAGUCGACCCCUAAGGCGAGGCCGAAAGGCGUAGUCGAUGGGAAACGGGUUAAUAUUCCCGUACUUGGUGUUACUGCGAAGGGGGGACGGAGAAGGCUAUGUUGGCCGGGCGACGGUUGUCCCGGUUUAAGCGUGUAGGUGUGUGUUCCAGG
RNAcentral lists this ribosomal RNA (704 nucleotides) under Leptospira borgpetersenii serovar Hardjo-bovis. RNAcentral's name for it is "partial 23S ribosomal RNA". It matches the Rfam family "Bacterial large subunit ribosomal RNA", at positions 916 to 1536 of the family's 2925-position model. Lineage: Bacteria; Pseudomonadati; Spirochaetota; Leptospiria; Leptospirales; Leptospiraceae. The record is from RNAcentral.